CCUACGGGGGGCAGCAGUGGGGGAUAUUGGACAAUGGGGGGGAACCCUGAUCCAGCGACGCCGCGUGAGUGAAGAAGUAUUUCGGUAUGUAAAGCUCUGUCAGCAGGGAAGAAAGCAAUGACGGUACCUGACCAAGAAGCCCCGGCUAACUAAGUGCCAGCAGCCGCGGUAAUACGGAGGGGGCAAGCGUUAUCCGGAAUUACUGGGUGUAAAGGGUGCGUAGACGGCUGUGCAAGUCUGGCGGGAAAGGCGGGGGGCCAAACCCCGGACUGCUCUGGAAACUGUAUGUCUGGAGUGCAGGAGAGGUAAGCGGAAUUCGUGGUGUAGCGGUGAAAUGCGUAGAUAUUAGGAGGAACACCAGUGGCGAAGGCGGCUUACUGGACUGUAACUGACGUUGAGGCUCGAAAGCGUGGGUAGCAAACAGGAUUAGAUACCCUAGUAGUC
Molecule: ribosomal RNA, 444 nt
Filed under: uncultured bacterium
Lineage: Bacteria
Description: partial 16S ribosomal RNA
Rfam family: Bacterial small subunit ribosomal RNA
Source: RNAcentral